UGUGCACCCCACACCUGGGGCCUAAUUAUACUGUUGCUAAGGUGAUAGUUGUGGUGUUUGAUGCCAGAGAUGUUCACCUAAAACAGGGCCAUUUCUAUUUCUGUCUGUUCUCUCUCUCUCUCUCUCUCUAUUCUCUCUCUCUCUCUCUAUUAUCUCCUGUCUCUCUAAUCUUGUGUUUUUCUGUCUGCUUUGACCCGGUCUCCUCUCACUUUUUUUUUCUCUGCUCUUGCUCUCUAGCUUUUCCCUCUCUCCUGCUCUUACCCUUUUCUCUCUCCUUUACCGACUUAUUCUCGCUGUUUAUAGGGAGUAUCUAUAAAUGUAACUGAUUAUGCAGUAGCUCAUGUCUCUGUGUGUGUCUCCAGGGCCAAUGGAGUCUCAUUAAGUAGGUGUCAAUAACUGGGGAAAUUAUUCCCAGUAUGCAGAGUACGGUCUGUUUGUGCCACAUGGCCAGAUACGCUUGUUGGCAUGUCCCCCUUUACCAGGCAUGUUUUUUUGGUUUGUACAGAUGGGCUUGUUGGCACUACCAGCUUGACCAUAGUACUACAGAUAACAGACUACUACUAAGAGGCUAGAACUGUCUAGAGAGAGAGAGAGAGAGAGAAAAAAAAAAACUGAUUGACCAACUUCAACAGACCGUCAAGAACCCAGGAAAUGACCAGCUCAACCCACCUUAUGGUCUAAACUGGUUUGGGCAUAAUUUUUUUAACAUGGACUUUUCUGGAGAUUUGCCACAUUUGCAAAAAGAGCAAAACAAAUGUGUGUCUUUUUCUACGUUCUUUAAACAGGGCAGUUAUAUUCUGACUCCAGCGUCGUCGUGAGAGCUCUUCCCACCCCCUCUCUCCGCAGGCUGCCGCCUCCUCACACCCCAGGCACCUGCUCACGGCACGCCGGCCUCGUGAGCGUCACUAGCUCCCACGCCCCCUCACCACACCGACGCGGCCCGGCGGAUCCGCGGCGGAACUUUUAUCCCGUUUUUAUUUAUUCCAUUUUUAUUUAUCUGCUUACUUGUUUAUUUAUUUUCCAUUCUCUCCUCAAGAGCAGUGCGGCCCCGGCUGUUGCCAUGGCAACAGUGGCUGAGCGGCGAGCAACCCUGAGUGUGAAGUAAUUUAUCAUUUUAAUGGGGAAUGUGUGUGUGUGUGUGUGUGUGUGUGUGUGUGCGCGUGUGUGUGUGACUGCAAGUGGGAGAGAGAGAGAGAGAGAAAGCCACAAGCACCGUCAUCUGGCUCAGGCCUCUCUGCUGUUCUGAAUGACUGUCGCAAUUCGUCUUUUAAUAUUAGAGAUGCUGCACUUAUCCACCUGUUUUAUCUACCUGGUGUUGCAGGCGACCCGCUGGAGCCCUGAAGUGGCCCGCUGAGGGCAGCGCUAUGAAAAGCCUGUUUUGUGCUGCUAUUUGGAAUGAAAUAGGUGAAGAGCUGCUGCUAUUUGGAAUGAAAUAGGUGAAGAGCUGCUGCUAUUUGGAAUGAAAUAGGUGAAGAGCUGCUGCUAUUUGGAAUGAAAUAGGUGAAGAGCUGCUGCUAUUUGGAAUGAAAUAGGUGAACUGGUCCUUUUUCACAUCUGCUUUGAGCACAGCUCACUGACAUUAUAGAGGGUUUGCUUCCCUCUUUGACUCUGUUCCUGAUGGGUUAGAAACAGCAAAUCAUAUGCUCUCAGAUGAUAGGUCUCUUUAAACUUGAAACUUUCCAAGCCUUAGUGGGGUGUCAGAGGAGCCAAUCCAAAGAUUAGCGUUAUUAAUUUAGUCUUAAUCAGAAAGGCAAUUAACCAGGCCUCACCAGGGGCUUUUACACUGAAACGUCGGUGACCUCUUUCCUGAAAUGCAUUCAGUCGGUUUGUCACUCUGAUUUGUCUCUCUCUUUCUCUGUGAAGUGGAGGAUCUGUCUCUCUCUCAUUCUCUGUGCGGUGGAGGAUCUGUCUGUCUCUCUUUCUCUGUGAAGUGGAGGAUCUGUCUCUCUCUUUCUCUGUGAAGUGGAGGAUCUGUGUAUCUCUCUUUCUUGGUGCAGUGGAGGAUCCGUCUGUCUGUCUUUCUCUCAGUGCAGUGGAAGAACGGUCUCUCUUUCUCUGUGAAGUGGAGGGUCUGUCUGUCGCUCAGUGAAGUGGAGGAUCUGUCUGUCUCUCAGUGAAGUGGAGGGUCUGUCUGUCGCUCAGUGAAGUGGAGGAUCUGUCUGUCGCUCAGUGAAGUGGAGGAUCUGUCUGUCUCUCAGUGAAGUGGAGGGUCUGUCUGUCGCUCAGUGAAGUGGAGGAUCUGUCUGUCUCUCUGUGAAGCCUAGAGAGAGGCGCAGGGAAACCUGCUGGUGAUUGAUGGCUGUGAUCAGCAGGUGAUUGAUGGCUGUGAUCAACAGGUGAUUAUCAACAAUGUGUGGAGGAACACUAAUGCUACCAACUCUUUUAAAAGCACACAGGACUCUUUCUUAUAGAUGUAACAAAACCAAGUUCAACAUGUACCCAGGACUCCCUGACUGGUAUACUGACAUGCAAGUGAUAGUAUUAAUGCACAGGCAGUGGGAGUGAAAUCCAACACACUGUUUAUUCCACCCAUCCAUCACAUAACGUAGUGAGCAGCUUAGCUGAUUCUGACGCGCAAGUCCGUCAAACCGCACCUCACAAUGAAGGUGAAGGCCACUUUCAUCAGAAUCAAAUAACCUUGGGAUGAGGUUGCAUUGCUCUGACUCUCUCUCACCUUGGAAUACACUGUUCAUUUUCCUCUUUGGAGAGCUAGGUUCAGGGUUCAGCGCUAAGUGAAGCUAAUACUGCGCUAAGGGAGGCUAAUUCUGCGCUAAGCGAUGCUAAUAAUGCGCUAAGCGAGGCUAAUACUGCGCUAAGCGAUGCUAAUACUGCGCUAAGCGAUGCUAGUACUGCGCUAAGGGAGGCUAAUACUGCGCUAAGGGAGCCUAAUACUGCGCUAAGCGUGGCUAAUACUGCGCUAAGGGAGGGCAUCUCUGUGGCGUGUUGCUCAUGCGGUCUCUUCCUGGUCUCUUCCUCUCCUAUCCUCUGCUCUGGUGCCAGUGUGGCCCUGAUUAAAGUUUCAAGAGCCUUAAUUGAGCUCCUAGACCCUUUUGAUCCUCAGCUGAAGGAGUGUUUAAGGUCACCUGACACACACACACACACACACACACACACACACUGAAAGCCCUUGUACAAAACACACAUCUCAAACUGUUCAAACUUUACACAGGGCUAAUGCGAAUGUUCAUGGGAAAAGGUCAGAUUGGACUAGAUAGAUACACAGAUAGAUAGAUAGAUGGAUAGAUAGAUACACGGAAAGAUAGUUGACCCAGGGGGAACAUAAAUCGUCGUAGCAGCCACAUACAUUCAAAUAAAAAUGUCAACAGAUACAUGGACAUAGUAUCUAAGAUGAACAAGCAGAGAGACUAAUGAAUGGAUUAGUGGGUAUAGUGACUGAUAGUCUGCUUAGAAAUAUGGUAAAAGGUACAGAUAAAGGCAUGAAGCGCUGAAGAUGAAUAACGUCCAGACAAUAUUGUGGUGCGCAAAGAGUGAAGUGAUUAGAGUAGUACAUUUAAAGGGUUAGUCCCAGUUUAAAGGGUUAGUCCCAGUUUAAAAGCAGCCUUCGCCACAGCACACCACAGCAUAGAAGAUGGCGCUCACAACAACAGGCUGAUGGAAUAUGUGGAACAUGUGGUCCAGAGGCUCUCAGGAUGUAAGGCUAGCUCAGGCCCUCCUUGUUGACGGCCGUUAUUGUGUGAGAGGUUAGUGCUGGCGGCCCUUCUUGGGUGCCGGCACCAGGUGUGAUACCAGGUGUUCCUUAGCACAAGUGGUGAGUAGCAUCGUCCCGACACCUACUUUACCAUAUAAUUUAACACUCUCCCGGUUCUCUGCUGUGAUUUAUGGUAGAACCGCAGGGGUGAAAAAGCCUUGGGCCCGAUAGCAGCCGUAUCCAAUGCAGCUUCUGACAGACACACAGCUCAUGAGAGGAGUACGAGAAGGGUUCCUCCAUUUGGAACCAGGUUCCCACCAGAUUAGAACCUUUGGUCAUUUUAUACAUUACACAGCCCUUGUUACAGUAUAGUAUAGUGUUGAGUAAAAUAUAGUCACAAAGAACUGAUCAUUCUAUUUAUAUUAGAGAUGGGAUACGAAUAGGGUUAAUCUUGUGUAAGAACAAAAGUAUCAAGUACUACACUGUUAAUUGCUGUGUUACAUUGUAGUUACAUUGAAGUAACAUUAUAGCAUGGGCUCUGUAAAAUGAACCGUAACAGAACUGAAUUGAAUUGUUCAUUUAGAUUUGUUUUUCAUUUGGUUAUAAACAUUAACCGUGGCUCUGCUAGUCCCUAUGUUCUUUUGUAGCCAGAUUCCAGCUUCUCUCCAGUCCUCUACUCCUACUCUAUAAGCUUCACAGCGCCUCCCUCUGAAGCCCCAGAAGCUCCUCUUCUCUCGCAAUCUGCAGCCGGAGAGAUAACCAGACUGCCCUGAAAUAAAAGAAGAGAGAGAGAGGAGAGAUAAGGAGUGCGAGGGAGAGAGAAAGUGAGUGAAAGUGAAAGACAGAGAGAAAGUGAACCGGAGACGAGACAUACUAGAAGAGUAGUCAGAAUGUGUGUUUAAAAGAGGGGAGAAGAGGCAGAUUAAGGAAAUAAAAUGAAGUGCAUUUAGACAGAAAGAAAAGGAGGAAAGAAACUUUUCCUGAACCUCUUUUCAAAGAGCAGAAGACAGACUGUCAGCAGUAAGUGAAAGAAAGUAGAGAGAAGGUGUGUAUGAAACAGACAGUGAGAUAAAGAGUGUGUGUGUGUGUGUGUGUGAAAGAGGGGGGUGGGGGGUGGUCGAGAGAGAGGCUUAUUCCCCGUUUUGAGGCACCCCCUAGGAUGACCGUUCCUGUGAUGUGUUGCCACGGUGAGCUGAGCUGAGAGGAACUUCCUGGUAGAGCCGGAAUGUUUACGCUGUGGGUGGAUUGCCCUCGGUUACCGCCUCUCCCAUUCUGCUCUAAUCUUUUCUCCAGCUGCUCCUGCUCUGGCAGCUGCAGCCAAAUCAAAGCCUCAACUCUGUAGCUCCAGCCUGAUACAUACACACAUGCACACACACACGCACACACACAAACACACACAACACACGUGCACACACACACACGCGCGCGCACAUAUGUACACACAUAAACACACACAACACACACACACACACACGCACACACACACACGCACACACACACACACACAUGCACACGCGCAAACACACACACAUGCACACACUCCUAGCACAGGGGCUGUGUGCUGGCUUCGUCUCCAUGAUGAAGAGGGCAAAUGCAGAAUGAUGUUGGGUAUCGUCUGAUGGAGCUCUCAGGGGCUGCAGACUGCUGAUGCAGCUGAAAUUCCACUGGCCUUGACAGAUCCGCACACACACAUGCACACACACACACACACACACACACACACACACACACACACACACACACACACGGAAAGACAACAAUAAUGUUCCUUCUUAUGAUUGGCUAAGCUGGAAACACACACCUUAACAGAUCCGCACACACUCACACCCCUGCAUCUCCUCCAUUACAUUUCCUGGCCUGUGACAUGUGCCUCAGGCAACAUGGAUUCUUUGGUCUGUGUGUCAACUGAUCUUUAAUGUAAAAUAGAUAAAUAAAAUCCCCUCUGAUUUCCUUCUCGAUUUGUAGUGUACAGUGAAGGCAGGAAAUCAGUGUGUGUGUAUUUUUGUAGUGUACAGUGAAGGCAGGAAACCAGUGUGUGUGUGUGUUUGUAGUGUACAUUGAAGGCAGGAAAUCAGUGUGUGUGUGUGUGUGUUUGUAGUGUUCAGUCAAGGCAAGAAAUCAGUGUGUGUGUGUGUGUGUGUCUCAGUGUUGUGCAUGAACGUGUUCAAAAGAACGCGUUCAUUGAACACGUUCAUUUUUAUGAGAACGAUGAACUGAACGCAACUUCAUGACAAAUAAUGAAUUUGAACGGUG
Long non-coding RNA from Clupea harengus (Atlantic herring), 5902 nucleotides. Lineage: Eukaryota; Metazoa; Chordata; Actinopteri; Clupeiformes; Clupeidae. The record is from Ensembl.